CCCUUUGGGGUGUGACUGCGUACCUUUUGUAUAAUGGGUCAGCGACUUAUAUUCUGUAGCAAGGUUAACCGAAUAGGGGAGCCGGAGGGAAACCGAGUCUUAAUUGGGCGUUAAGUUGCAGGGUAUAGACCCGAAACCCGGUGAUCUAGCCAUGGGCAGGUUGAAGGUUGGGUAACACUAACUGGAGGACCGAACCGACUAAUGUUGAAAAAUUAGCGGAUGACCUGUGGCUGGGGGUGAAAGGCCAAUCAAACCGGGAGAUAGCUGGUUCUCCCCGAAAGCUAUUUAGGUAGCGCCUCGUGAAUUCAUCUCCGGGGGUAGAGCACUGUUUCGGCUAGGGGGCCAUCCCGGCUUACCAACCCGAUGCAAACUGCGAAUACCGGAGAAUGUUAUCACGGGAGACACACGGCGGGUGCUAACGUCCGUCGUGAAGAGGGAAACAACCCAGACCGCCAGCUAAGGUCCCAAAGUCAUGGUUAAGUGGGAAACGAUGUGGGAAGGCCCAGACAGCCAGGAUGUUGGCUUAGAAGCAGCCAUCAUUUAAAGAAAGCGUAAUAGCUCACUGGUCGAGUCGGCCUGCGCGGAAGAUGUAACGGGGCUAAACCAUGCACCGAAGCUGCGGCAGCGACGCUGAUGCGUUGUUGGGUAGGGGAGCGUUCUGUAAGCCUGUGAAGGUGGCCUGUGAGGGUUGCUGGAGGUAUCAGAAGUGCGAAUGCUGACAUAAGUAACGAUAAAGCGGGUGAAAAGCCCGCUCGCCGGAAGACCAAGGGUUCCUGUCCAACGUUAAUCGGGGCAGGGUGAGUCGACCCCUAAGGCGAGGCCGAAAGGCGUAGUCGAUGGGAAACGGGUUAAUAUUCCCGUACUUGGUGUUACUGCGAAGGGGGGACGGAGAAGGCUAUGUUGGCCGGGCGACGGUUGUCCCGGUUUAAGCGUGUAGGUGUGUGUUCCAGGUAAAUCCGGUUCACUUUAACACUGAGGCGUGAUGACGAGGCACUACGGUGCUGAAGCAACAAAUGCCCUGCUUCCAGGAAAAGCCUCUAAGCAUCAGGUAACAUCAAAUCGUACCCCAAACCGACACAGGUGGUCAGGUAGAGAAUACCAAGGCGCUUGAGAGAACUCGGGUGAAGGAACUAGGCAAAAUGGUGCCGUAACUUCGGGAGAAGGCACGCUGACACGUAGGUGAAGUGAUUUACUCAUGGAGCUGAAGUCAGUCGAAGAUACCAGCUGGCUGCAACUGUUUAUUAAAAACACAGCACUGUGCAAACACGAAAGUGGACGUAUACGGUGUGACGCCUGCCCGGUGCCGGAAGGUUAAUUGAUGGGGUCAGCGCAAGCGAAGCUCCUGAUCGAAGCCCCGGUAAACGGCGGCCGUAACUAUAACGGUCCUAAGGUAGCGAAAUUCCUUGUCGGGUAAGUUCCGACCUGCACGAAUGGCGUAAUGAUGGCCAGGCUGUCUCCACCCGAGACUCAGUGAAAUUGAACUCGCUGUGAAGAUGCAGUGUACCCGCGGCAAGACGGAAAGACCCCGUGAACCUUUACUAUAGCUUGACACUGAACAUUGAGCCUUGAUGUGUAGGAUAGGUGGGAGGCUUUGAAGUGUGGACGCCAGUCUGCAUGGAGCCGGCCUUGAAAUACCACCCUUUAAUGUUU
This 1650-nucleotide ribosomal RNA is filed under the name Salmonella enterica. Its description in RNAcentral is "bacterial LSU rRNA". It matches the Rfam family "Bacterial large subunit ribosomal RNA", at positions 582 to 2215 of the family's 2925-position model. Lineage: Bacteria; Pseudomonadati; Pseudomonadota; Gammaproteobacteria; Enterobacterales; Enterobacteriaceae. The record is from RNAcentral.